GUCGUGAGAUGUUGGGUUAAGUCCCGCAACGAGCGCAACCCCUGUUCUUAGUUGCCAGCGCGUAAUGGCGGGGACUCUAGGAAGACUGCCGGUGCCAAACCGGAGGAAGGUGGGGACGACGUCAAGUCAUCAUGGUCCUUACGUCUAGGGCUACACACGUGCUACAAUGGGCGGGACAGAGGGGGCCGAGGCAGCAAUGCCAAGGCAAUCCCAAAACCCGUCCUCAGUUCGGAUUGUCGUCUGCAACUCGACGGCAUGAAGCUGGAAUCGCUAGUAAUCGUGGAUCAGCAUCGCCACGGUGAAUACGUUCCCGGGCCUUGUACACACCGCCCGUCACGCCAUGGAAGUGGUGAGCGCCCGAAGUCCGUGUCGGAACCCGCAAGGGGCCAAGCGGCCGAAGGCGAGCAUCAUGACUGGGGCGAAGUCGUAACAAGGUAGCCGUAGGGGAACCUGCGGCUGGAUCACCUCCUUAACGGAGCUGCGAGUAAGGCAGAACAAGCCUGGGCAACCAGGAGUUACUUUGCCGGAAAGCACUCACGUGUCGCUCGCCUCGUAACAUCCCGAUCUCAAUCUCGAUUUCCAUAUAUAAAAGAGCCGGACUCAUAAACCGCCCAAGCGGGGAAUGAAUCAGGCUCGAAAGAAGUAGAGGGACUUGAGACUAAGUCCUUAAGCACCAAGCGACAGAGCGCUUAUAUCUCGAAAGCUUUUUGACAAUGGAAAGUAGUAGUGAUCGUGGGAUUUGAGCGCCUGGACCUGAUAAGAUCCGGGUGCUGAGAAUCAACACUAGUGACACAAUUUCAUAGAAGCUCUGACCUUCGGGUUGGGGCUCGAUUUGUCUCAAAGAGCUUGAAGAAGCUUCGAGAGUCCAAAUGAUUGUAUCACUCGUUAGAUCGCGCGUGUUAUUGUUUGAACAAAUGGAACAAGUUAUUUGAUCAAGCGAAAGAAAGUAUGUGGGGGAUGCCUAGGUACACAGAGGCGAUGAAGGCCGUGGUAAGCUGCGAUAAGCCAGGGGGAGCUGCACACAAGCUAUGAGCCCUGGAUGG
RNAcentral lists this small RNA (1043 nucleotides) under uncultured Gemmatimonas sp. RNAcentral's name for it is "bacterial SSU rRNA". The stretch from base 1 to 472 matches the Rfam family "Bacterial small subunit ribosomal RNA", at positions 1064 to 1533 of the family's 1533-position model. Lineage: Bacteria; Pseudomonadati; Gemmatimonadota; Gemmatimonadia; Gemmatimonadales; Gemmatimonadaceae. The record is from RNAcentral.